AACGGAUAGGAAUCCUUAGUGGCGGACGGGUGAGUAACGCGUGAGGAACCUGCCUUGGAGAGGGGAAUAACACAGAGAAAUUUGUGCUAAUACCGCAUGAUGCAGUUGGGUCGCAUGGCUCUGACUGCCAAAGAUUUAUCGCUCUGAGAUGGCCUCGCGUCUGAUUAGCUAGUUGGUAGGGUAACGGCCUACCAAGGCGACGAUCAGUAGCCGGACUGAGAGGUUGACCGGCCACAUUGGGACUGAGACACGGCCCAGACUCC
RNAcentral lists this ribosomal RNA (263 nucleotides) under uncultured Eubacteriales bacterium. RNAcentral's name for it is "uncultured Clostridiales bacterium partial 16S ribosomal RNA". It matches the Rfam family "Bacterial small subunit ribosomal RNA", at positions 65 to 339 of the family's 1533-position model. The record is from RNAcentral. Lineage: Bacteria; Bacillati; Bacillota; Clostridia; Eubacteriales.